Molecule: ribosomal RNA, 901 nt
Filed under: uncultured bacterium
Lineage: Bacteria
Description: bacterial SSU rRNA
Rfam family: Bacterial small subunit ribosomal RNA
Source: RNAcentral
UAGAGUUUGAUCCUGGCUCAGGAUGAACGCUAGCUACAGGCUUAACACAUGCAAGUCGAGGGGAAACGACAUCGAAAGCUUGCUUUUGAUGGGCGUCGACCGGCGCACGGGUGAGUAACGCGUAUCCAACCUGCCCACCACUUGGGGAUAACCUUGCGAAAGUAAGACUAAUACCCAAUGACGUCUCUAGAAGACAUCUGAAGGAGAUUAAAGAUUUAUCGGUGAUGGAUGGGGAUGCGUCUGAUUAGCUUGUUGGCGGGGUAACGGCCCACCAAGGCUACGAUCAGUAGGGGUUCUGAGAGGAAGGUCCCCCACAUUGGAACUGAGACACGGUCCAAACUCCUACGGGAGGCAGCAGUGAGGAAUAUUGGUCAAUGGGCGAGAGCCUGAACCAGCCAAGUAGCGUGCAGGAUGACGGCCCUAUGGGUUGUAAACUGCUUUUAUAAGGGAAUAAAGUGAGCCUCGUGAGGCUUUUUGCAUGUACCUUAUGAAUAAGGACCGGCUAAUUCCGUGCCAGCAGCCGCGGUAAUACGGAAGGUCCGGGCGUUAUCCGGAUUUAUUGGGUUUAAAGGGAGCGUAGGCCGGAGAUUAAGCGUGUUGUGAAAUGUAGACGCUCAACGUCUGCACUGCAGCGCGAACUGGUUUCCUUGAGUACGCACAAAGUGGGCGGAAUUCGUGGUGUAGCGGUGAAAUGCUUAGAUAUCACGAAGAACUCCGAUUGCGAAGGCAGCUCACUGGAGCGCAACUGACGCUGAAGCUCGAAAGUGCGGGUAUCGAACAGGAUUAGAUACCCUGGUAGUCCGCACGGUAAACGAUGGAUGCCCGCUGUUGGUCUGAAUAGGUCAGCGGCCAAGCGAAAGCAUUAAGCAUCCCACCUGGGGAGUACGCCGGCAACGGUGAA